RNAcentral lists this small nucleolar RNA (125 nucleotides) under Catagonus wagneri (Chacoan peccary). Lineage: Eukaryota; Metazoa; Chordata; Mammalia; Artiodactyla; Tayassuidae. The record is from RNAcentral.
AUGCAUAUUUCAUUGACCUGCUUUCUCAUAUGUGUGAGUAAUAUUAUUUAUGAGCUAUACAAAGAGUUGAAGGUUAACUAGCAGUAUAACUAAAUAGUAUUGCUGUCAGCCUUCUUUAGAUAAUU